RNAcentral lists this long non-coding RNA (4670 nucleotides) under Piliocolobus tephrosceles (Ugandan red Colobus). Its description in RNAcentral is "lncRNA (ENSPTEG00000011390.1)". Lineage: Eukaryota; Metazoa; Chordata; Mammalia; Primates; Cercopithecidae. The record is from RNAcentral.
UUAAUUUUUUUUUUUUUUUUUUUUUUUAUAUUACAAUUCUAUAUACUAUAAUUUUUUUUUUGAAUUGUUCGCUUGGAGGUAUAUGCACACACAUAUAUACAUAUAAACCUACAAGUAGGUACAUACAUACACAUACACAUACACAUACACACAAGUACAUACAUAUAUACAUGCACAGAUAUACGUCUGGUAUAUCCUAAAAAACCUUAAUUUUUUAUCAUACCUGAGUAAGCAAAAAAAAAAAAAAAAAAAAAAAAAAAAAAANNNNNNNNNNNNNNNNNNNNNNNNNNNNNNNNNNNNNNNNNNNNNNNNNNNNNNNNNNNNNNNNNNNNNNNNNNNNNNNNNNNNNNNNNNNNNNNNNNNNAAAAAAAAAAAAAAAAAAAAAAAAAAAAAAAAAAAAAAAAAAAACGAUGAUAGGAGGUGAAGUUAUAAUUGAAUCUAACCCUUCAAAGAAGUACUGCAUAGCUAAAAAAGAACGGCUAUGUGAUAGCAUAAUAUGGGAAUUGCUACAAAACUAUUAUAAAGAAGCAGCAAUAGAUGCUUGGAAAGAGAAUGUGGUACCUUCAUUUGUUACUAGUAAUAGUAAACUAGCUAAAGACUAUGCAAGGGUGAUUAUAAAUUACGCGAAAGAUUGGUUUAAUAGUAAUGAAUGUAAUCGUGAUGUACCUAUAUAUAUAUUAGAAAUAGGAGCAGGACAUGGUAAGUUUACUUAUUUAAUUCUUAGGGCAUUAUCAAAAUACAAAAAAUAUUUUAAAAGUUUAAAUUUACCUAAAGUUCCUUUUAUAUAUGUAUUUACGGAUAUUGCGAAAAAUAACAUAACGUAUUGUAUGAAUAAUGAAAGAUUAAAAAGGUAUAUAAACAAGAAAGAUGAUACUGUUAGUAGUGUCGUUAGUAACAGCCAUUGUGGUGAUAAUAAUAAUAAUAGUAAUGUUGAUUAUGAAAACAAAAAGAAUGUCGGUAAUAACUACGAUUUGGAUAGUGACAAUCUAACAUCAUCAUCAUCAUCAUCAGUAUUAAGUGAUAGCUUAUCAUCAUUAAGUGAUAACUUAUCAUGCAACAAAACUGACUUGGAUAAAAAAAAAAAAAAAAAAAAAAAAAACAAAAAAAAAAUCAUAGUACCAGUAAUAAUGAACAUUACUCUAUGCUAGAUUUCGCCUAUUUUGAUGGUAAUGAUACUUCAGAUAAAAUUUAUUUGGAAAUAGCUAAAAAAUAUAUUCCCCAUGAUACACCUAUAGUGUUAAUUUGUAAUUAUGUGUUAGAUUCCUUAUUAACAGAUGCAUGGAUAAUUAACGGGAAAAAUGAUUUCAAGCGAGCAUUAUUAUCAGUUUAUUCACCAAAUAAAGAAGAAGAUCAUUGUAAUUCAUCUAUCAUGUUAAGAAUGACUGUAAAUUGGGAUUGGGAAAGUAUAAAUAUAGAUGAAGAAAUAAAAAAAGAAAAAUCUGAAAAAAAAUCAGAUUAUUUAAGAGAGUAUAAAGAUAUAUAUACAGUAUUAAAAUUGUAUUCAUGUUUUAAUGAAUAUUUAUCAUUUGUUUUACCUGUAGGUGCAUUCAUAUUAUUUAAAAGGAUAUUAAAAAUAAGUAAUAAUAAAUUACUUUGUUUAAUUGGAGAUAAAGGUUAUCAAUCUUAUGAAGAGUUUAGGGGGUACAGAGAUCCUCAUAUUGUUGUACAUGGUAGUCUUUCUUUUAUGGUAAAUCUAAAUGCAAUUUGUCUUUUUUUUUUGAUUCUAGGUGGUUAUUAUAUACAUACCCCUUACUCAGACACUUUUCAAAUAAUUACUUUGUUGAUGCAUAAAAAAAAUGAAAAUAAUAAUAAUUUACUACAUAAAACAAAACCAAACAACACAUUAUCAACUAGUGGACAAAGCGAAACUAACCAUUUCCACAUACUUGAUUAUUUUCAUAAAACAUUAACUUUAACUUCUACAACUAUGAAAGAUGUUACUAACGAGGAUAUGUCCAAAAAAAAUGAAAUAAAUUCUAAACUAGAGAAAAAAAAGGAUACCUGUUUUAAUGAAAAAAAUGGUGAUGAUGGUAAGACUGAUUAUCAUACUCAUACUCCUACUAUUAGCAAAAACGUUUAUAAAAAAAUGAAAAAAAUAAAUUUAAAAAAUUUAAAUAACAUGACUAUAAAAUUUGGAAGUACGAUAACUUCAUUUUUUGACAAUUUAGAACAAUUACCACCUGACUUGUUAAUAAGUUGGCAAAAAUCAGUCAUUUAUAAUAUAAAUAAUAAUUCAGCAAAUGUAAACAUAAAAGAGUUAAUAGCAUUAUUACGAUAUUCCAACUACGAUUCAGAUGUAUUUUAUAAUAUUAGAAACUCUUUUACUAAUUUGGCAUGCUUUCCUAACAUUAAUGGUAGAACUGAAAAGGACAUUUUAUUAGACAUAAAAGAGUGUUAUAAUAAUCAUUAUUCAUUAAAAAAUGAUGAAGAUAUAGCUGAUGUGUGUGGACAUAUAUGCAUGAAAUUUGGUGAAUUUGAAAAGUCAAUCUAUUAUUUAAAAGAAAGCUUAAGAAACUUUAAACAUACUAGACAUUCAUCUACAUAUAUUAACAUAGCAUCAUGUUAUAAAGUAUUAAGAAAAUAUGAUAAGUCACUUAAGUAUAUAAAAUCAGCAAUUAAACUAUCAAAUAAAGAAAAUAAAAAUAAAAAUGACAUGAUGCUAAUGAUGAACCCUAACACUUGCAAUGGAAAUGCCAACGGUAGCAGUAAUAAUAGUAUGUACUCCCAUGAUAUUUUGUAUAAUAUACAAUUUUGUCUUAACCCCAUUACAUAUGCUAUUGUUGGGAUAAAUUAUUAUAUUCAAAAUGAUGGACUAUAUUAUUUAUCUUUUGAAAGUAAAAUUAAAUUAAAAUAUAUUUUUUUACUCGCCAAGGAAGAGGGCAUAGUACUAAAAUUUUUACACAAAAAAUAUAAGCACUCGUUUUUUGAAAAAACUAAUAGACACAUGAAUCUUGCAGAAAUUAAAAUCGUAAAAGUAUAUGAUGAAAAUAAAGUGAUUAGCUUGGAUGAAUUGUGUGGGGACGAGCAAGAUGAUAAACGGGAGCUGGAAGAAAAACGGGAGCAUGAGCAGGAGAAUGACAUAAUGGAAGAUGGUACUGUUGCACGGGAUUCAGUACAAAAGCAUGGAAUACAACAAAGUGAAACACUCAAUAAGUCAUACAAAAAUAUAGACUAUUUAAAAAAAAACCUAACACAAUGUUUAAAACAAUACUCCUGUCAACUUUGUGUCAUUGACUUACCAUGGAGUAUCAAACCAGAAAUAGUAGAAUUAAUGCUUGAACAUUCAAAACAUAUAUUUACGUAUGGUAUUUUAUCCAAUUCGUUUAAACGAUCUUUUGAAGUUAUUUCUAAAUAUAAAAAAGUAUCUGAUCAAAUUAGUUGGGUUAAUAAUAAUUAUAUUCAUGAUGAAUGUUUAUAUGAAGCUAGAAAUGGCAUCAGCUUUAUUAAGAAUAUAAUUUCUUUAUCAGUUACACAUUACAGUUCAAAUGUUUAUAAUAAUAAAAAUAAUUGUAUUGAUGAUAAAGAUAUAUUAGUUGGAGAUUUGUGUAGCAUUUUAAAUAUGAUACAAAUUAUAAUGGGUUAUGCUAUUACAGGCUUAACAGCUAAUUUUUUAAAAAAAUAUAAUUCUAAAAGUGAUGAAUCUGUUGAUAGUAAGUUAUACGAUAAAAACGAAGAGAAACCAGAAGAGAAACCAGAAGAGAAACCAGAAGAGAAACCAGAAGAGAAAACAAGAGAACAUGGAGAGGACGAAAAAGAACAAGAAACUGAGGAAAAAGAGGAAAAAAAGGAAGAAGAGGAAAAGGGGGGAGAAAAGGAAGAAGAAGUCAAAACAUAUAGUAGUAGCUAUAAGAACAAAAAUAAGAGAAAAGCAGAAUAUGCCUCUAUGUCCGGAAUUGUUAUGUUUUCACAAAAUCAAAAAAUAGUACAAGGAGAACAAAAAAACGAUAAAAAUGAUGAGGAUAUAAUAUUCGAUGAGUCGGAAACAUUUGGAAACUACUUAUUAAUAAAUAACAGAAAUGAAGAAUUUAUUACAAAAAUUGUUAUUGUUGGUGUACUCGGUUCUUUAUGUUUAAAAAAAACAGUGUCUAAUUGGACUAUUAACAUUUAUAAUGUGAAUGGUGAUAAAAUUUUUGAUAAAUCAGGUAAAUUAGCAGCUAGCCAAAAUGCAAACGAUGUAUUUAUUAGUCAAUAUUUAAUAAAAACAAAUGGAAAAAAUAACAGUAUCAAACAUUAUAAUGAAUAUAAUUUAGAACAGUCUACUAACGAUACGAAUGAUGGUGUAAAUGAGUCUGUAGAUUCGGACGAUGACCUUUUGUAUUUUUCAUCAGAGUCUGACAUGGGGCAGUCAUCAAACGAUCAGCAGAAAAGUGAAAACAAUAAUAAGACUAGUGUUACAGCAGAACAAGUAGAAAUGACAAAGAAGGGUAAAGAGGUGGAUGCCUCAGAUGGAUACGACUCGAAUGUUGUAGAUAAUGGGCAUGUCGAUAAUAGCCAUGUUGAUAACACUACCAAUAAUGCAUACACAGAUAAACACCUACAAAUAUUACAAAAAUUACCUGGUAAAAGAUUUUAUUGUCUUAGUAAAGAUGUGUAUGAAAAUAUAAAUAUGGAUGUUAACUUUAUUGAUAUUACUGUAAAUAAUAAUUGUUUUUAUUCACGAAUUGUCGAAG